UUCCAGUAGGCAAAGAGUCCAUAGAGCCUAGGGCAUAUAACCACCCAGACCAUGCUCCAGGUGCCUGAACCCUGGGAGCCUCUACCCAAAUGGGCUAAGCCCACUCCCAGGGCCUGCACAUGGGUUGUUCUCCCUAUGGCCUAACAAAGGGCCCACUGGCACACCCCUAAUGCCCUGGGAGUAGGCAAGUGGUAGCUGUAUGUGUGAUGGGCACAGUCCUGAUGUGAGGUCAGGUGUCCAUCCUUCAUGGCUCCUCUCAGUUGCUUUUCAUGAGGAAGUAGAGAAAUCCACAUGGAAAAGAACUAAAAGCAGCCUCCAGUCAACUGCCUGCAAGAAACUGAAGUUCUUAAUCCAAAAGCCCUUGAAGAACUGAAUCUGAUCAACUGAAUUGAAUCCUGUGAGCUUGGAGGCACAUCUUUCUCCGUUUGAGCCUUCAGAUAAGACCACAGCCCUGGUUAACACCUUAAAUGCAGCAUGGGAGACCACAAAGCAGACAUCCCAGCUA
Molecule: long non-coding RNA, 505 nt
Organism: Panthera uncia (snow leopard)
Lineage: Eukaryota; Metazoa; Chordata; Mammalia; Carnivora; Felidae
Exons: 2
Source: RefSeq, a predicted model, not a curated record